CCUACGGGUGGCUGCAGUGGGGAAUAUUGGGCAAUGGGCGCAAGCCUGAACCAGCAACGCCGCGUGAAGGACGAAGGUCCUAGGGAUGUACACUUUCUUUAUUCGGGACGAAACAAAUGACGGUACCGCCUGAAUAAGCCACGGCUAACUACGUGCCAGCAGCCGCGGUAAUCCGGAGGUGGCAAGCGUUAUCCGGAUUUACUGGGUGUCAAGGGCGUGUAGGCGGGAGAGCAAGUCAGACGUGAAAUUCCAGGGCGUAACCCUGGAACUGCGUUUGAAACUGUUCUUCUUGAGUGAUGGAGAGGCAGGCGGAAUUCGGAGUGUAGCGGUGAAAUGCGUAGAUAUACGGAGGAACACCAGUGGCGAAGGCGGCCUGCUGGACAUUAACUGACGCUGAGGCACGAAAGCGUGGGGAGCAAACAGGAUUAGAUACCCGAGUAGUC
RNAcentral lists this ribosomal RNA (443 nucleotides) under uncultured bacterium. Its description in RNAcentral is "partial 16S ribosomal RNA". It matches the Rfam family "Bacterial small subunit ribosomal RNA", at positions 338 to 795 of the family's 1533-position model. The record is from RNAcentral.